RNAcentral lists this ribosomal RNA (453 nucleotides) under uncultured bacterium. RNAcentral's name for it is "partial 16S ribosomal RNA". It matches the Rfam family "Bacterial small subunit ribosomal RNA", at positions 29 to 507 of the family's 1533-position model. The record is from RNAcentral.
AUGCACGCUGACAGAAUGCUUAACACCUGCAAGUCAACUUGAACUUCGGUUUGGGUGGCGGACGGGUGAGUAACGCGUAAAGAACUUGCCUCACAGAUAGGGACAACAUUUGGAAACGAAUGCUAAUACCUGAUAUUAUGAUUUUAGGGCAUCCUAGGAUUAUGAAAGCUAUAUGCGCUGUGAGAGAGCUUUGCGUCCCAUUAGCUAGUUGGAGAGGUAACGGCUCACCAAGGCGAUGAUGGGUAGCCGGCCUGAGAGGGUGAUCGGCCACAAGGGGACUGAGACACGGCCCUUACUCCUACGGGAGGCAGCAGUGGGGAAUAUUGGACAAUGGACCAAGAGUCUGAUCCAGCAAUUCUGUGUGCACGAUGAAGUUUUUCGGAAUGUAAAGUGCUUUCAGUUGGGAAGAAAAAAAUGACGGUACCAACAGAAGAAGAGACGGCUAAAUACGUG